UAUACUGUUAAAAAAGUAAUAACCAUUUAUAAGUUUUAAUACAUUUUGCCAUAGUGACUAGAUCAAUAGAUUUUAGUGUGUUAGGAAUUCAGGCCCUCGUAAGUAGGAGAGAUCGAUUUUGGGGAGGGACUGAAUUAUUCCGGUUAUAUCUUCUCAUAUUUUAUCUACAAAAUAUAUUUCAAAAUUUUCUUUAAGGUAUAACAAUAAAUCAUAUAAGUGAUCUCCCCUUACAAAGCAAAACAUUUGAAUUUUGAAUUUAAAAAAGGUUCUGUUUAAAAUCCAAUGAUUUCCUCCACUUAAAUGAAUAGACCUAGACCUUCAAAAUAAAUUACAUUUCUCAAUCAACAUUUGCUCAUAUCUGUAAUAAAUCACAAUGUAGUAGUAAAAAUUAUAAUCAAAAAUAUAGUAAAAACUAUAUGCAUACGUUGCUAAGCUUGUAGGAGAACUGAUCAAUAGAAUUUUAAAUAGAAUAUAUACAAGAAGAUCGCUGUCAGAAAGCAAACAGAGAAAUGCAUUCACUGAAGUUGUUUCUACUUGCAUGUAACAAAAUAAAAAAAAUUACUGUAGAAACUGUAAAUUAAUCUAUAACAUCCAAAUUACUUUAGCUUCCACUUCGUUAUACGUAUUUAAAUUUUGGAAUUUUGAAAGAUGUAAAAAUUUUGAGUACCAGAUCUGCAAUGCAAACCUAUUUAAGGACCUGGAUUUUUCUAGUUACUGUAGGUUUACAUAUUUGCUUCUUUUGCAGAUCUAUUUAGGACAUUUUUGUAGGAAUGUAUACACAUACUUGCAGUAAAAUGACUAUGUUUGUGAGACAAGGAUGGUUUAAGUUUAGGUCUUACCAAAGUCAAAUUUUUCUGGACCUAAGAUUUGCAAGUAAUGGAAAACCAAACCAUGAACUGGGGAAACCACAAAUUAAAAAUCAAAGACGCCUUCCAUCAAGGUCAUCUCUUUCACCACUACAGCGUCUGAAUUCAUUGUUGCCAGAACAGUUUCAAGUUGAAGAACUACAAAAGCCAACCAAUAAGACUGACAAUAAAAAUAAAGUACAUGUAGAAUGCAUAACAAAGAAAAGACCAGUGAAGAAGUUCUCAGUGUAUGAUAGAGUUAAUGACCAGCUGUCAACAUAUACAAAUGAUGAAAAACCUGAAUAAAGACAAAUGAUAUUAUAAUAAUUAAGGUUCAUCAAAGAUUUCAUCAGGCGAGUUGUCACCUGAAGAAAUGUACCAUGAUGCACUAGCAGGACUAGCAGAAUCAUACUGGCUGUCAUGAUCACACUCUUCACAACGUUUUGGAGAAGCAUGAGGACCUCUAGGAUAUCCAUCAUCAUCAGGAUCCUUCAUGUAACCUCUAAUAGCUCCAGCAUGAUGUAAAGCUCUGCUACGUUUCCAAACUGGAUGACUGAUAUCUAUUGCCAUAAUCUGAAAUUUUUAUUACAAUUAUGAAAAAGUUGUGGUCUUGUACAUACUUCACUUAUAUAAAUAUUCCAAGGUAA
This is a long non-coding RNA of Mytilus californianus (California mussel), 1492 nucleotides long. RefSeq lists it as uncharacterized. The record is from RefSeq and is a predicted model, not a curated record. The transcript is spliced from 2 exons. NCBI's taxonomy places the organism in Eukaryota, Metazoa, Mollusca, Bivalvia, Mytilida, Mytilidae.